AAAGUGCGACAAGUGUCACGACUUGCAGAUUCCCGGGAGCUGACAACUCUCUGAAUGCAAAUUGCGGCCCGACAAUCUCUUCCGUCGGCCAUGUGUUGCAGAGUGUUUUUGCCUUCGGCACUCCAUCUUCUGGCUCAGAAGAAUUCGGAGUUGAGUGCAGCUAACCCUCGCUCAGCUCUAAGAUCUGCGCAAGCUCGCUCAAUUGCGACGAGCAUGCCUUGCAUGCGAGGCAUAGCGUGUCCAAAAGAGCGCAGACGCGUGUUCAUUCUAUUUUGCUGACCUCUGCAACAUAAGAAAACCCGCUGAACUUAA
This 312-nucleotide unclassified non-coding RNA is filed under the name uncultured fungus. RNAcentral describes it as "sequence contains ITS1". The stretch from base 1 to 108 matches the Rfam family "5.8S ribosomal RNA", at positions 50 to 154 of the family's 154-position model. Lineage: Eukaryota; Fungi. The record is from RNAcentral.